GAUGAACGCUGGCGGCGUGCCUAAUACAUGCAAGUCGAGCGAACAGACGAGGAGCUUGCUUCUCUGACGUUAGCGGCGGACGGGUGAGUAACACGUGGAUAACUUACCUAUAAGACUGGGAUAACUUCGGGAAACCGGAGCUAAUACCGGAUAAUAUAUUGAACCGCAUGGUUCAAUAGUGAAAGACGGUUUUGCUGUCACUUAUAGAUGGAUCCGCGCCGCAUUAGCUAGUUGGUAAGGUAACGGCUUACCAAGGCGACGAUGCGUAGCCGACCUGAGAGGGUGAUCGGCCACACUGGAACUGAGACACGGUCCAGACUCCUACGGGAGGCAGCAGUAGGGAAUCUUCCGCAAUGGGCGAAAGCCUGACGGAGCAACGCCGCGUGAGUGAUGAAGGUCUUCGGAUCGUAAAACUCUGUUAUUAGGGAAGAACAAAUGUGUAAGUAACUAUGCACGUCUUGACGGUACCUAAUCAGAAAGCCACGGCUAACUACGUG
This 497-nucleotide ribosomal RNA is filed under the name uncultured bacterium. RNAcentral's name for it is "partial 16S ribosomal RNA". It matches the Rfam family "Bacterial small subunit ribosomal RNA", at positions 28 to 507 of the family's 1533-position model. The record is from RNAcentral.